RNAcentral lists this ribosomal RNA (441 nucleotides) under uncultured bacterium. RNAcentral describes it as "partial 16S ribosomal RNA". It matches the Rfam family "Bacterial small subunit ribosomal RNA", at positions 338 to 795 of the family's 1533-position model. The record is from RNAcentral.
CCUACGGGUGGCAGCAGUGGGGAAUAUUGCACAAUGGGGGAAACCCUGAUGCAGCAACGCCGCGUGAGUGAGGAAGUAUUUCGGUAUGUACAGCUCUAUCAGCAGGGAAUAGAAAAGAAGGUACCUGAAAAAGAAGCCCCGGCUAACUACGUGCCAGCAGCCGCGGUAAUACGUAGGGGGCAAGCGUUAUCCGGAUUUACUGGGUGUACAGGGAGCUUAGACGGAAAGGCAAGUCAGGAGUGAAAGCCCAAGGCUAAACCAUGGGACUGCUUUUGAAACUGUCAAACUAGAGUACGUGAGAGGGAAGAGGAAGUCCGAGUGUAGUGGUGAAAUGCGUAGAUAUUAGGAGGAACACCAGUGGCGAAGGCGUCUUACUGGACCGAAACUGACGUUGAGGCUCGAAAGCGUGGGGAGCAAACAGGAUUAGAUACCCGUAUAGUC